Plectropomus leopardus (leopard coralgrouper) is the source of this 385-nucleotide long non-coding RNA. RefSeq lists it as uncharacterized. The record is from RefSeq and is a predicted model, not a curated record. NCBI's taxonomy places the organism in Eukaryota, Metazoa, Chordata, Actinopteri, Perciformes, Serranidae.
UUCAUCCUCCUCAUUUUGGCCUGUAUUUAUUAAGAUUUCAACAAAGUAGCUCCAUAAAAACCAUGCCGAAUAGUCUAUAAGCAGCUCUUGUUUGCGGUGUACAGAUAAAAACACGGUCAGAUAUCACCGGAUAACUUUUAUACCGAAGAAAACUUUAAAACGUGAUAAUUCUCAGUCAAGUCUGGAGUUGUGACGAGCGUCUUUUUUCCUUUGACUUCUAAGCGAAUUUACGGACGUUUCCUCGUGAUGGGCAUCGGAGAAAAUUGCAUUCUCGUUUCCUUCUGAUGUCUGAACUGGAGACUUCAGAUCCCCCAGAGCUCUCCGGCUCGUUCGACAGCCUCAAGACGACAAAAGCAGCUGCUCCUCUUAUCCAUCCAUCCCAUCA